Brassica napus (rape) is the source of this 116-nucleotide non-coding RNA. Lineage: Eukaryota; Viridiplantae; Streptophyta; Magnoliopsida; Brassicales; Brassicaceae. The record is from Rfam.
AGCCAUGUGGUGAGCACAAAGCGAACUAUUCUUUCGCCUUUUACUAAAGAAUACCGUGUGCUCUCCACGCUAAGUGGCAUACGCCUAUUUUUGUAGGGUCUUGCUUUUAAGCGAGC